UACGGAGGGUGCAAGCGUUGUUCGGAAUUACUGGGCGUAAAGCGCGUGUAGGCGGUUGGGUAAGUCAGGUGUGAAAGACCGCAGCUCAACUGUGGAAGUGCACUUGAAACUAUUUAGCUUGAGUUCGGGAGAGGGAAGUGGAAUUUCCGGUGUAGAGGUGGAAUUCGUAGAUAUCGGGAAGAACACCGGAGGCGAAGGCGGCUUCCUGGACCGAUACUGACGCUAAGACGCGAAAGCGUGGGGAGCAAACAGG
Molecule: ribosomal RNA, 253 nt
Filed under: uncultured bacterium
Lineage: Bacteria
Description: partial 16S ribosomal RNA
Rfam family: Bacterial small subunit ribosomal RNA
Source: RNAcentral